RNAcentral lists this ribosomal RNA (136 nucleotides) under uncultured eukaryote. RNAcentral's name for it is "partial 18S ribosomal RNA". It matches the Rfam family "Eukaryotic small subunit ribosomal RNA", at positions 1299 to 1458 of the family's 1831-position model. The record is from RNAcentral.
UGGUGGAUUGAUUUGUCUGGUUGAUUCCGACAACGAACGAGACCUUUACUGGCUUAAUAAGCUUCAGAAUUUUGAAUUUGAAGCUCUCUUAGAGGAACUUUGUGCGUUGCAGCAUAAUGAAGCGAAGGCAAUAACA